This 37-nucleotide transfer RNA is filed under the name Leavenworthia uniflora. Its description in RNAcentral is "partial transfer RNA-Leu". Lineage: Eukaryota; Viridiplantae; Streptophyta; Magnoliopsida; Brassicales; Brassicaceae. The record is from RNAcentral.
AAAAUCCGUUGACUUUUAAAAUCGUGAGGGUUCAAGN